GUGGGUAGCGGUGAAAUUCCAAUCGAGCCCGGAGAUAGCUGGUUCUCCCCGAAAUAGCUUUAGGGCUAGCCUCAAGGUGAGAGAUACGGAGGUAGAGCACUGAAUGUCCUAGGGGGUAUUGCACCUACCGAAGACUAUCAAACUCCGAAUGCCGUCAUCUUAUACUUGGGAGUCAGACUGUGGGUGAUAAGAUUCAUAGUCGAAAGGGCAACAGCCCAGAUCGUCAGCUAAGGUCCCUAAAUGUAAGUUAAGUGGUAAAGGAUGUGGGAUUGCACAGACAACCAGGAUGUUGGCUUAGAAGCAGCCACUCAUUCAAAGAGUGCGUAAUAGCUCACUGGUCGAGUGAUCCUGCGCCGAAGAUUUCCGGGGCUAAAACUUACUACCGAAGCUACGGCAUCAGUAAUGAUGGGUAGGGGAGCUUCCCAUACGGGUUGAAGCAUGACCGUAAGGACAUGUGGACAGUAUGGGAGUGAGAAUGUUGGCAUGAGUAGCGAGAUGUGGGUGAGAAUCCCACAGGCCGUAAACCCAAGGUUUCCAGGGGAAGGUUCGUCCGCCCUGGGUUAGUCGGGACCUAAGCUGAGGCCGAAAGGCGUAGGGGAUGGACAACAGGUUGAUAUUCCUGUACUACCGAUAACCGUUUGAGAGA
RNAcentral lists this ribosomal RNA (646 nucleotides) under Clostridioides difficile. Its description in RNAcentral is "bacterial LSU rRNA". It matches the Rfam family "Bacterial large subunit ribosomal RNA", at positions 811 to 1465 of the family's 2925-position model. Lineage: Bacteria; Bacillati; Bacillota; Clostridia; Peptostreptococcales; Peptostreptococcaceae. The record is from RNAcentral.